GACGAACGCUGGCGGCGUGCUUAACACAUGCAAGUCGAACGGAAAGGCCCUGCUUUUGUGGGGUGCACGAGUGGCGAACGGGUGAGUAACACGCGAGUAACCUGCCCUUGACUUUGGGAUAACUUCAGGAAACUGGGGCUAAUACCGGAUAGGAGCUCCUGCUGCACGGUGGGGGUUGGAAAGUUUCGGCGGUUUGGGAUGGACUCGCGGCUUAUCAGCUUGUUGGUGGGGUAGUGGCUUACCAAGGCUUUGACGGGUAGCCGGCCUGGGAGGGUGACCGGCCACAAUGGGCCUGAGGUACGGCGCAGACUCGUACGGGAGGCAGCAGUGGGGAAUAUUGCACAAUGGGCGGAAGCCUGAUGCAGCGGCGCCGCGUGCGGGAAGACGGCCUUCGGGUGGUAAACCGCUUUCGCCUGUGACGAAGCGUGAGUGACGGUAAUGGGUAAGGAAGCACCGGCUAACUACGUG
RNAcentral lists this ribosomal RNA (468 nucleotides) under uncultured bacterium. RNAcentral describes it as "partial 16S ribosomal RNA". It matches the Rfam family "Bacterial small subunit ribosomal RNA", at positions 28 to 507 of the family's 1533-position model. The record is from RNAcentral.